This 303-nucleotide ribosomal RNA is filed under the name uncultured bacterium. RNAcentral's name for it is "partial 16S ribosomal RNA". It matches the Rfam family "Bacterial small subunit ribosomal RNA", at positions 507 to 807 of the family's 1533-position model. The record is from RNAcentral.
AGCAGUCGCCGCGGUAAUACGGAGGAUCCAAGCGUUAUCCGGAUUUAUUGGGUUUAAAGGGUGCGUAGGCGGCUCAUUAAGUCAUGGGUGAAAGACGGUAGCUUAACUAUCGCAGUGCCUUUGAUACUGAUGAGCUUGAAUGUAGUUGAGGUAGGCGGAAUGUGACAAGUAGCGGUGAAAUGCAUAGAUAUGUCACAGAACACCAAUUGCGAAGGCAGCUUACUAAAGUAUGAUUGACGCUGAGGCACGAAAGCGUGGGGAUCAAACAGGAUUAGAUACCCCAGUAGUCCCUGUCUCUUAUAC